Hemicordylus capensis (graceful crag lizard) is the source of this 1228-nucleotide long non-coding RNA. RefSeq lists it as uncharacterized. The transcript has 6 exons. The record is from RefSeq and is a predicted model, not a curated record. Lineage: Eukaryota; Metazoa; Chordata; Lepidosauria; Squamata; Cordylidae.
UGGCCCUGGGAGCACUUGAAACAGCGGCACAAAGGACCCAAUGAAAAGACUUCUACAGGAUAGAUACUGUACAGUGCUAGCUGAUGUGUACAAAAGUGUUGGCAGAUGUACUGCAGAAUUCUGAGAAAAAUAAGUAAACAAUGAUGUCAAAAGAAGUCACUCAACUUAAGUUUGUGGUUGUGAAUAAAACAAAUAAUCUACACAAAAAUAGUCGUAAGAGGAAGUUUUUCUAGGACGGCAACAUUUCACCAGAAAGUGACAGAUGCCUCUUUGGUUUAUAAAUGACACACAUACUUCACAGUAACCUGUCAGGCAUUUGCCGGAAUUAGAAGAUUUUUUAAAAAUGCCACCAAAAAAAGAUAGUCUAUUGGAAAAAUCAAUCCUAAAUACAAGAAAAUGAAAUUGUUAACAGUAGCUGAGACCCCUCAACAGCAUGAGAAUAUUAAUAGUUAUCUAUAGGGACCCCUGCUCACUAUCCAUAGAUAGAUAGACAGAUAGACAGAUAGAUUCCUCUCCUCUACAAUCAAGAACAUCUUCUGACCAGCAGCAGUUGCAUUCCAACUGAUAUUAACCAUCAGAGGCUCCUCCCCCCAUCUGCAUAUGGAAUCCCCACUGCCCAAGCAGGUGCUUCUACUCGCGAACUCUCGCAAGUGCUGCCACACAUGGGAUUAGCCACAGUUAAAGUUGACUUCCUGUUCAAUUACUUAUAAAGGAUAAGUAAUUUCUUUGGAACAUUGGGUUAUGAGCCCAGUUGUGAAGCAAUAAGUUAUGAGAUAACAAAGAGUUUGUUGGCAAGAAAGCUGGACAACAUGAUUACUUUUGCAUUUUGGGGAGGCAUCCCACUGUUGUACUGCUCAAUGAAACAAACGACAGAAAAUGGUCCUUCAGAGUGAAGAAGUUGCUGAAUACUCAUGGACUAUCUUAUGUUCUGGAGGAACAAAGACCAACAGAGAAUGAAGAAGAACAAUGAGAAUGGGAUUCUGCAAACCAGCAAGCCAUGAGACAGUAUCUCUGACUGAUAAGUUAUUCUAUCAUAUAGGAGACAAAAAUAUAGCGAGAGAGAUGUGGGCAAGAUUGAAGAAGGUCUUUCCACAAAGAACUGUAAACAGUCAAAUUUCUCUUAUACUGUAAUUGUGUAAUAAAAGAGUGAGAGAGGGAGAGAGUUUGCAGGAGCACAUCUGCUCAUUUAUGGGAAUACUGAAAGAGUUGGAACUGCAGGAAAUAAAUA